RNAcentral lists this ribosomal RNA (785 nucleotides) under Xeromelissa rozeni. Its description in RNAcentral is "SSU rRNA". It matches the Rfam family "Eukaryotic small subunit ribosomal RNA", at positions 457 to 1201 of the family's 1831-position model. Lineage: Eukaryota; Metazoa; Arthropoda; Insecta; Hymenoptera; Colletidae. The record is from RNAcentral.
CGGGGAGGUAGUGACGAAAAAUAACGAUACGGGACUCAUCCGAGGCCCCGUAAUCGGAAUGAGUACACUUUAAAUCCUUCAACAAGGAUCCAUUGGAGGGCAAGUCUGGUGCCAGCAGCCGCGGUAAUUCCAGCUCCAAUAGCGUAUAUUAAAGUUGUUGCGGUUAAAAAGCUCGUAGUUGAAUCUGUGUGUCACAGUGUCGGUUCACCGCUCGCGGUGUUUAACUGGCAUUAUGUGGUACGUCCUACCGGUGGGCUUAGCUCCUCGUCGGGCGGUCCAACCAAUAUCCCAUCGCGGUGCUCUUUACUGAGUGUCGAGGUGGGCCGGUACGUUUACUUUGAACAAAUUAGAGUGCUUAAAGCAGGCUACCUUCGCCUGAAUACUGUGUGCAUGGAAUAAUGGAAUAGGACCUCGGUUCUAUUUUGUUGGUUUUCGGAACCCCGAGGUAAUGAUUAAUAGGGACAGAUGGGGGCAUUCGUAUUGCGACGUUAGAGGUGAAAUUCUUGGAUCGUCGCAAGACGGACAGAAGCGAAAGCAUUUGCCAAAAAUGUUUUCAUUAAUCAAGAACGAAAGUUAGAGGUUCGAAGGCGAUCAGAUACCGCCCUAGUUCUAACCAUAAACGAUGCCAGCUAACGAUCCGCCGAAGUUCCUCCGAUGACUCGGCGGGCAGCUUCCGGGAAACCAAAGCUUUUGGGUUCCGGGGGAAGUAUGGUUGCAAAGCUGAAACUUAAAGGAAUUGACGGAAGGGCACCACCAGGAGUGGAGCCUGCGGCUUAAUUUGACUC